GUUGCAGCUUUGGCAGCACACAUACUAAAAUUGAAAUGAUACAGAGAAGAUUAACAUGGCCCCUGCGCAAGGAUGACUCAUAAAUUUGUGAAGUUUUCAUAUUUUUU
Molecule: small nuclear RNA, 107 nt
Filed under: Castor canadensis (American beaver)
Lineage: Eukaryota; Metazoa; Chordata; Mammalia; Rodentia; Castoridae
Source: RNAcentral